AUGAACGCUGGCGGCGUGCCUAAUACAUGCAAGUCGAGCGAACGGACGAGAAGCUUGCUUUUCUGAUGUUAGCGGCGGACGGGUGAGUAACACGUGGAUAACCUACCUAUAAGACUGGGAUAACUUCGGGAAACCGGAGCUAAUACCGGAUAAUAUUUUGAACCGCAUGGUUCAAAAGUGAAAGACGGUCUUGCUGUCACUUAUAGAUGGAUCCGCGCUGCAUUAGCUAGUUGGUAAGGUAACGGCUUACCGAGGCAACGAUGCAUAGCCGACCUGAGAGGGUGAUCGGCCACACUGGAACUGAGACACGGUCCAGACUCCUACGGGAGGCAGCAGUAGGGAAUCUUCCGCAAUGGGCGAAAGCCUGACGGAGCAACGCCGCGUGAGUGAUGAAGGUCUUCGGAUCGUAAAACUCUGUUAUUAGGGAAGAACAUAUGUGUAAGUAACUGUGCACAUCUUGACGGUACCUAAUCAGAAAGCCACGGCUAACUACGUG
Molecule: ribosomal RNA, 496 nt
Filed under: uncultured bacterium
Lineage: Bacteria
Description: partial 16S ribosomal RNA
Rfam family: Bacterial small subunit ribosomal RNA
Source: RNAcentral